UACGGGGGGGGCAAGCGUUGUUCGGAAUUACUGGGCGUAAAGGGCUCGUAGGUGGCCAACUAAGUCAGACGUGAAAUCCCUCGGCUUAACCGGGGAACUGCGUCUGAUACUGGAUGGCUUGAGUUUGGGAGAGGGACGCGGAAUUCCAGGUGUAGCGGUGAAAUGCGUAGAUAUCUGGAGGAACACCGGUGGCGAAGGCGGCGUCCUGGACCAACACUGACACUGAGGCGCGACAGCGUGGGGAGCAAGCAGG
Molecule: ribosomal RNA, 253 nt
Filed under: uncultured bacterium
Lineage: Bacteria
Description: partial 16S ribosomal RNA
Rfam family: Bacterial small subunit ribosomal RNA
Source: RNAcentral